CCUACGGGAGGCUGCAGUAGGGAAUAUUGCUCAAUGGGGGAAACCCUGACGCAGCAACGCCGCGUGGAGGAUGAAGGUUUUAGGAUUGUAAACUCCUUUUGUUAGAGAAGAUUAUUAAGUUAUCUAACGAAUAAGCACCGGCCAACUCCGUGCCAGCAGCCGCGGUAAUACGGCGGGUGCAAGCGUUACUCGGAAUCACUGGGCGUAAAGAGUACGUAGGCGGGGUAAUAAGUCAGGUGUGAAAUCCUGUGGCUUAACUAUGGAACUGCAUUUGACACUGUUACUCUGGAGUGUGGGAGAGGUAGGUGGAAUUCUUGGUGUAGGGGUAAAAUCCGUAGAGAUCAAGAGGAAUACUCAUUGCGAAGGCGACCUGCUGGAACAUUACUGACGCUGAUGUACGAAAGCGUGGGGAGCAAACAGGAUUAGAUACCCCAGUAGUC
Molecule: ribosomal RNA, 440 nt
Filed under: uncultured bacterium
Lineage: Bacteria
Description: partial 16S ribosomal RNA
Rfam family: Bacterial small subunit ribosomal RNA
Source: RNAcentral